This is a long non-coding RNA of Rosa rugosa (rugosa rose), 886 nucleotides long. RefSeq lists it as uncharacterized. The transcript has 3 exons. The record is from RefSeq and is a predicted model, not a curated record. NCBI's taxonomy places the organism in Eukaryota, Viridiplantae, Streptophyta, Magnoliopsida, Rosales, Rosaceae.
UCGACAGUCUUUCGUUGACUACAAGCAUGUUGUAGAUGUGGAUUAUUAUCCUCCAGUUUCCUCUGACAGAGCAGCCAAGCUAAAGAAGGCCGCCCAAAGUAAAUCCAACCAACAGAACACCUUGGAAUAUCAUGAAAUUGUUGAAGAUGAAAUGAUAUGAGGCUUACAACAGUUGAGAUGGAAAAAAGUUGAUGUCAGCUUGGCCCUUCUUCGCCCACAACAAGAUUCAUGUACUGUUCCAAAUGAAUAAAUGGAUUUCUCUUUGUAAAUCCAGGUAAAAAAUGAAUGGCUUUACAAUGCUAGGGGUUGCACAAAAAUCUCAUUAGUUGUAUUCUUUGUGCCAUUUAAUGUCUCAACUUGGUUGAUUACAGCGGCUAUGGCUGGUUGCUUCUUAUGAAUUACAUAUUGGCUAAAAGCCUAAAGCAUUUUUAGUCAAAAAAUAAGUGUAUGGUGUACUUCAGCAAGCCAGCUUGGACAUUUUUCGAUCACUUCUGCAAUGACCAUAAAAUGAUGCACCUACAAGAUCUACAAAGGUUGGAAGGAUUUCUUUCUCCCUUUCAUUUAGACAUGUCUUCUUCCUGAACAAUGAUCAUUGCAUUUAUGUUUCAAGAGUACAUCAACACCAUUAAUGAUCUGUAAUAGUUCUGUAUCAAUGUUCACACAUUUGGGGAUUGUAGUUACAAUUGCCACUGGUUUUGGAGUGAAAACUACUAUUGCUCUUUGGGUUCAGAGAAUCCAGAAAGAAAGCGUGGGAUAUCUAGCCCCAUUUAGCGUUUAACUACCAGAAGAAUCCAAAACACAUCGACAAUAAAAAUACCCGCAGCAAAGCGCGGGCUAUUUAUCUAGUAAAUGCAUAUAGUUCAUUGUAUUAUGAACCAUAGGCAUA